Molecule: non-coding RNA, 240 nt
Organism: Vicia faba (fava bean)
Lineage: Eukaryota; Viridiplantae; Streptophyta; Magnoliopsida; Fabales; Fabaceae
Source: the annotation of a GenBank genome assembly
AUGGCAUGGUCAACCUCUUCCAAUACUCCUCAACAAAAGCAUGAAGUGUUCCUUAGCUUUAGAGGCGAGGACACACGCUACACCUUCACUAGCCACCUUCAUGCUACUCUAACCAGACUUGAUGUCGGAACGUAUAUAGAUUACAAUCUUCAACGAGGAGAUGAGAUAUCGUCGGCGCUUCUUAGGGCCAUUGAAGAGGCCAAGCUUUCCGUCGUUGUUUUUUCGAAGAACUACGGGAAC